This 338-nucleotide ribosomal RNA is filed under the name uncultured bacterium. Its description in RNAcentral is "partial 16S ribosomal RNA". It matches the Rfam family "Bacterial small subunit ribosomal RNA", at positions 338 to 690 of the family's 1533-position model. The record is from RNAcentral.
CCUACGGGGGGCAGCAGUGGGGAAUAUUGGGCAAUGGGCGCAAGCCUGACCCAGCAACGCCGCGUGAAGGAAGAAGGCUUUCGGGUUGUAAACUUCUUUUCUGAGGGACGAAGAAAGUUACGGUACAUCAGGAAUAAGCCACGGCUAACUACGUGCCAGCAGCCGCGGUAAUACGUAGGUGGCAAGCGUUAUCCGGAUUUAUGGGGUGAAAGGGGCGUGUAGGCGGGAAAGCAAGUCAUAUGUGAAACCUCAGGGCUCAACCCUGAGCCUGCAGUGGAAACUGUUUUUCAUGAGUGCUGGGGGGGAAAUCGGAAGUCCGGGGGUGGCGGUGAAAGGCG